Molecule: unclassified non-coding RNA, 330 nt
Filed under: uncultured Tremellaceae
Lineage: Eukaryota; Fungi; Basidiomycota; Tremellomycetes; Tremellales; Tremellaceae
Description: sequence contains ITS1
Rfam family: 5.8S ribosomal RNA (bases 1-105)
Source: RNAcentral
GAAAUGCGAUAAGUCUUGUGAAUUGCGGAAUUCAGUGAAUCAUCGAAUCUUUGAACGCACCUUGCGCCUUUGUGUAUUCCGAUAGGCGUGCCUGUGUGAGUGUCAUGAAAUGUCAAUCCCCCCGGGUUUUCUGAACCCGAGGUGGACUUGGACAUGGGAUUCUGCCGUCUCGUACGGCUCGCCUUAAAUGACUCAGUGGGAUCUUCAGCAUCCGUGGUAGACGUAAUAAGUUUCGUCUCGUCCCUUGCUGUGAGGACCGCUCAUAACCUGCCAUCGCGCACCACUUUUGACUCUGACCUCAAAUCAGGUAGGACUACCCGCUGAACUUAA